GUGAAUCUUCAAAAGUCGGCUCGUCGGAUUGUGCUGGUGGAGACACAUGUGCACAUCUUGCGGGUCGCAAACCCACACACCUGUGCAUCUAUGACUCUGAGUGCCGCUUUGCAUAGCCUUGACCGGCCUGGUGCUCGAGUACUUUUUCAUACACUCUUGAAUGUAAUGGAAUGUCUUGUUGUGCGUAAUGUACAAAUCGAAA
Molecule: unclassified non-coding RNA, 202 nt
Filed under: uncultured fungus
Lineage: Eukaryota; Fungi
Description: sequence contains ITS1, 5.8S rRNA gene
Source: RNAcentral